UACGUAGGGUGCGAGCGUUAUUCGGAAUUACUGGGCGUAAAGCGUGCGCAGGCGGUGUUGUAAGUCAGGUGUGAAAUCCCCGGGCUUAACCUGGGAACUGCAUUUGUGACUGUAGAGCUGGAGUACGGUAGAGGGGGAUGGAAUUCCGCGUGUAGCAGUGAAAUGCGUAGAUAUGCGGAGGAACACCGAUGGCGAAGGCAAUCCCCUGGACCUGUACUGACGCUCAUGCACGAAAGCGUGGGGAGCAAACAGG
This 253-nucleotide ribosomal RNA is filed under the name uncultured bacterium. Its description in RNAcentral is "partial 16S ribosomal RNA". It matches the Rfam family "Bacterial small subunit ribosomal RNA", at positions 524 to 776 of the family's 1533-position model. The record is from RNAcentral.